GCUGGGCAUGGUGGCGCAUGCCUGUAGUCCUAGCUACUUGAGAAGCUGAGACAGGAGAAUCGCUUGAACCCAGGAGGCGGAGACUGCAGUUAGCCGAGAUUUUGCCACUGCACUCCAGCCUGAGUAACAAAGCGAGACUCUGUCUCAC
Pongo abelii (Sumatran orangutan) is the source of this 148-nucleotide unclassified non-coding RNA. It matches the Rfam family "Metazoan signal recognition particle RNA". Rfam says of the family: The signal recognition particle (SRP) is a universally conserved ribonucleoprotein. It is involved in the co-translational targeting of proteins to membranes. Lineage: Eukaryota; Metazoa; Chordata; Mammalia; Primates; Hominidae. The record is from Ensembl.